RNAcentral lists this long non-coding RNA (3422 nucleotides) under Malus domestica (apple). Its description in RNAcentral is "long non-coding RNA (MDOM_LNC007439)". Lineage: Eukaryota; Viridiplantae; Streptophyta; Magnoliopsida; Rosales; Rosaceae. The record is from RNAcentral.
UAGAACGAUACCCUACUUACAUCUAUACUACAAUUGUCAAAAAGAGGGUUUAAUUUUGUGUGUUAACUUAUUUCUCACAUCAAACCAUGACAUGAGUAAUGUAUUCCUCACAUCCCUUCAACAUAAGUCUCUUGGCUCUUAGACAAGAAAUAUGACUAUUAAGUAAAAUCCUUCAUUCACCCUGAAAUUCCACAAGUGGCCCUCCAAGAGGAUGAAAGACUACCAACUUCCGAAAAUAGUCAAUAUGAAUGUGAUGCCUUGAUAACAAAUUCAUACCUAAGAUAAGGUCAAAUUCUACCAUAUGUAAGGGUACAAGAUCCACUUCCAUGAGUACCGCAUCGAUGAAAAUCAGACAAUUUUUGAAUUCCCAAUUUAUUCGAAUAGUUUCUCUCGAAGGGAUAAAUAGCCCAAACUCAUAAUAUAAAGGAAUAGGUGGAAUAUUUGCCAUACGCGCAAAUUGAGGAGAUAAGCAAGAAUGAGUAGCAGCUGGGUCAAUUAAAACCCGAGCAAGAUAUCAAAAAGCAUUCAACGUACCAGUAAUAACAUUAGGAUCCUCAUCAGCCUGCUAAUGAUUCAUAGCAAACAUUGAUUCUGUGUUGCACCACUCGAACUACCUGAAGUACAUCCGCCACGUGAUCUCUGAGUCUGACUUCUACGACCCUGUCUGUUAUUCUGGUUCCAACUACCAAAGGUUCCACCACUGGACUGCCCUUGAGAAGUAUUCUACUGAACAAACAGCGAAGUAGAUUAUGGAACUAGAGGCAUAACAAGCUGAGGAAACUGAUGAAUAUGAGGAUAAGCAUACGAACUGGGCUGAAAUAACUGAUGCCCAUAAGCAGGAUAAAGUGCAAACUGUUGAUAUGGAUUAUCCGGAACUUCAAGCUCAAGCUGCUGAGUCAUCCCAUAAGAUAUCCUUGAAUAUUGCUUCAAAUUAGGCCAAUUCCUCCAAUAAUGUCCCGGCUGACCAUGAUUAAAACAAACUCAUGUACCCGAUCAUCGUAUAUGAAGCAAGUAGUGCAUAGAUGUACAUUGUCCUCACGAAAAGAGCCACCCCGAGAUCCAUUGCUAGAGGAUUGGCUACUACCAUUUGAAUCCUUGUUGGCACGAACUGUAAUACUAUUAGAUCUACCGCUAGUAGACCUAGAAGGCUAACCCUUCUUCUUAAAAGUCAUCUUACUCUUCAUUCUGCUCAUAGAUAAUGCUUCUUUAAUAUUUUUGGCCUUGAACUUACUCUUAAAUCGUCCAAGUUGUUUUCCAUCAUCACUAGUGCUUGCUUGUUUACCCUUUACUGACUGCUUUUUCUUCUUCUAAUUAAUCACUUGUUCAAUUUGUUGAGCUGUGAGGAAAGCUGUUUCAUACGUGACACUGUCAUUGACCACAACAUAGGUGCAUAACUCGGGAUUAAGGCAAAAAAUAACCUACUUCCUCUUCUCAUUGACGUUAUCACGAAUACCAGGGCAAUACUCGACCAAGCGCCAAAAGUCUCGUUCAUAGUCGACAAGAACCAUGUUUCCUUGCUUGAGAGCUAGAAACUCUAGCCUCAUAAUAGCUUGAAACUCAGGGCUAAAAAAACUGUUGAACCGCUCCUUAAAGAGAUCCCAAGUCUAAACCUUAUCAGCUCGAAGAUUAAAACGCUCCGUCUUCCACCAAUUCUUGGCACUGUCGACCAUGAAGAAAGUUAUCAUACUCACUCUCUGGUCGCAUCAUCUAUACGCUCCAACUAAGAUUCAGCUUCUGCUACAGUUCCAUGACCAUCAAGAGAGUAGGCACUAUGACUCAUUGCAAUUUUUGUUGAGUGCAACCACAAUUCGCAUUAGGAAUUAGUUAGGCCAAUGCCUCAAUUAAUUGUUGUAACAUGUAUGUUUCUCAUAACCAUGCUCUGAUACCAAACUGAUACACCUCAAUCCCAAUAACAUAAGUUACGAGGCUGUGAUGUGCUGGCAGAUGCUAAAUUGACCAUAUGACCUCAUCCGGAGAUGACAUCACAAGCCAACUUAAGGACGAAGCCAUAGUAAUAUAUUUAUGAUGUGAAGGAAUUUGAACCAAAAACAUUCAUUAAUAAUAAAUCCAAAUUUAUUACAAGAAAUCACUUAUCAUCCUCCCUACUUGGGGACACAAAUUAUCUCAGGCUUAAACCCGUUAUUAUCACAUUAUGUCAAAGCAGCUAGAAGUUUCACAUAAUAGUAAACACAUAAAAGUGCAGUGCUAUGCAUAAUAAAAAAUAUGAUCAUGCAUCACCCAAUAUCCAGAGGAUGAAAGCUUCACUUCUAAGCCCACUCGUCACCACCAAUGUUCUCCUUACUUUCGUUACCUCUUGAAGGGGUCAAUAAAACAAAAUGUGAAUGGACCAGUUUUAUCACAGUUAUAAGAUCAUCAUUUGACAUAACAACCCCUGUUUUGAAAACAUAUAUAGCAAAAACUAUUAAUAAUAUUUACUACCAUAAUAGUAAAAUCUCAUCAAUCUCUACAAUCGAAAAUAUUCAAUCCAAGUUUAGAAAUUAUACCUUAACUUAAUCAAUCACACUGGGGUCCACUAGCAUAAGUAUAGCAAGCAGGAUAUACUAGCGUCAACUAGCCAAACUCAAUACCAGUAGUAAUCAACAACCCUAGCAUUUACUAGGAUAAAUAUCCCCUGCAAGUAAUGUACGACUGAAGAUAACUAUACAACAUAUAUAAGAGAACAUGUAGUGAAAAUAAAUCACCAAUGAUCUAAAGAUAUUGUCAAAUCGUCAUAAGUUUUAUCAAAGACCAACAUAGUAAUAUGCAUCCGCAUAUAAAGCAUCUCUAAACACACACACGCACACACACACACACAUAUAUAUACACGUAAAAAUGUUUAGUUUUUGAAGGGGUCCACUCACAGGUAAGCAGAGCGUCCUUCGCCAUUAGGCUCCCCACCUAAAUCCUUUUUUAUCCUCUAAUACCUUGUGAUAGUCAAUAUAAGCUAAAUCAAGCUUUAAUCAUCAAUUUAUGGGAUAUUGCCCAAAAAUACCAUUUAGGUAUUGAAUUUGCACAAACAAAGGGCACCACAUUAUUUAGAACAUCGAAAAAACUAGGCUUAGGUCUCGGGUCCGACAAGCGUCACCGUAUACGCCGCCACAUGCUGCCGUGUGUGUGCGUGUGUAUAUAUAUAAUGUAAAAAUUUAGUUUUUGAAGGGGUCCACUCACAAGUUAGCAGAACGUCCUUUGCCACUAGGCUCUUUGCCUAAAUCCUUUUUGAUCCUCUAAUAACCCUGUGAUAGUCAAUAUAAGCUAAAUCAAGCUUUAUCAUCAAUUUAAGGGACAUUGCCCAAAAAUACCAUUUAUGUAUUGAAUUUACACAAACGGAGGGUGCCACGUUACUUAGAACAUGAUGCGUAAAAUAACUAAACACACAAAUUAAACCCUCUUUUUAUCAAUUGUAGUAAAGUAUGUAAGUAGGG